This 492-nucleotide ribosomal RNA is filed under the name uncultured bacterium. RNAcentral describes it as "partial 16S ribosomal RNA". It matches the Rfam family "Bacterial small subunit ribosomal RNA", at positions 29 to 507 of the family's 1533-position model. The record is from RNAcentral.
AGUGAACGCUGGCGGUAGGCCUAACACAUGCAAGUCGAACGGCAGCACAGUAAGAGCUUGCUCUUACGGGUGGCGAGUGGCGGACGGGUGAGGAAUACAUCGGAAUCUACUUUUUCGUGGGGGAUAACGUAGGGAAACUUACGCUAAUACCGCAUACGACCUACGGGUGAAAGCAGGUGAUCUUCGGACCUUGCGCGAUUGACUGAGCCGAUGUCGGAUUAGCUAGUUGGCGGGGUAAAGGCCCACCAAGGCGACGAUCCGUAGCUGGUCUGAGAGGAUGAUCAGCCACACUGGAACUGAGACACGGUCCAGACUCCUGCGGGAGGCAGCAGUGGGGAAUAUUGGACAAUGGGUGCAAGCCUGAUCCAGCCAUACCGCGUGGGUGAAGAAGGCCUUCGGGUUGUAAAGCCCUUUUGUUGGGAAAGAAAAGCAGCGGGUUAAUACCCCGCUGUUCUGACGGUACCCAAAGAAUAAGCACCGGCUAACUUCGUG